UGCAAUACUAUAAGUGAUAUUGGGUUGGCAUAGAAAACAUGUCACCGAGAAUCUCAAGUUAAUUCCUAAAACCCCAAAACAAAAAAAGAGACAAAAUAGGAGAGUAUUCAAUAUAUCACAAAAAGGAAGAUUUUCCAAAGGAGCUCUCGUGUCUUGGAAUUGUGGUGUCCCAAAAUAAGAAAGAGACUGAACAAGAAAACUCAACACUACGCAAAAGGGAGAGAAUUCCCUAAAUGAGUUUACGUCUCUGGUGAUAGAAGUGCCACACCAACUGCCAUGCGCGCCAAACCCUCUAUUUAUAGGAGAAAUUCUUCCAUGUGAAAGCCUUCGAACGAAUAGUAUUUGAAUGGAAAUGGCUGCUACGAAUUUGACUAAUAAAACAUACAACUCAAUAGUUGGGGUAUAUGCUAGGACGCUAAAUAGGUAAAAAAAAAAAUGUCCAUGUAGCUCUCAAAAUUUGACAGCACCAUAAAUGAUUUCACAUGGAUGUCAAAGACAUAUUUUAACACUUUUAUUAUUUAUUUUUUCCCAUCCUCCCGGAUGGAGUUCUUAUUAAGAUAGUCGAAUGAACCAGAAGUACAUAAAGAAACAGAGACCACCACGUACGUAUAUGGUCUGAAAUAAAACUAAAUAUCUGUUAUUGGCUUUCUUAAUUAUUGGUUUUCACUUUAUUAUUCAAACUUCCCAUCCUCCUCAGCAUCGCCUUAUGGUAAUAUUGGCCAUUGUAACCGUAUAAUUCCUUGCUGGUAUUUGUCGAACUGCCAGAAAGGUUGCAUAUCCACGAACAUACCUAAAUAUUUUGGUGCCAGAAAGUACUGAAAAUUCAGUCACCGAAGUAUUUUGUAUGCUAUAUCCUAGUCCUUGGAAUUCCAAAGUGCUACCGUUGUAUUGUCCGUCGGUGAACAUGAAGGAAAAUGGGUCAAAUGAGUAAAGUCCAUCACGGGAUGAAGCUACAUAAAGGCCUUGGCUUCGACCAACAGUUGGAGAAUUGAUGCUGAUGCUUUCUGUAAAGGGAGAAUCAUUAACAUAAAUGGUUCCAAAUUCGGUGGGAGUUCUCGGCCUACCAGGGGCGCCGGCAACUGCGACAGUGGUGGCAUUUGGUCCGCCUGAAAACAGUUGAAGGUACACAGUAAUCUUUGUUUCCUUUCCACCGCAGCAAUAAUCACGGUCACGAUGAUUAGCUUCUGAACAAACAAAGAUUGCUACUAAUAGCAAAAGGGAAAUUUGGAUGGAUGUUAAAGCUGAACCUUUUGCCAUUUUGUAUGUUGAAAGGCUUGCUGAAAAACAAAGAAGGAAGAAACAAAUUAGUUAGAUGGUGAAGAUAAUUUGUUCAAUGACCAUAUUUAUAGGAUGGAGUCAAGGAGUUAGGUAUAGCACAAAAAGUUUUAAAAGACAAUUAAACAUCAAUGGGUGGCCAUCUAUCACAAUAGGUUUGUGUAGAAUGGUGUGGUGUAAUCAGCAUAUAUACAUUCAUAGUUCAUAGCCAAGAAUUUCUUUUCAUAUAUAAUGGGAUAAUGGAAAACCUUGUUAACAUGAAACACAUUUACCUAACAAAAAUGAAACACAUUUAAUAAGGUUCUGGAAAAGGAUUAACUCCACUUUGCAUUUUCAAACUUGUACCACUUUAACAAGGUUCCGAACUUGUGCUUAGCAGAUAAAUCAAUGUCGACUUUUGAUUUUUCUGCAUAUAAAUGGUUUAAAUGAAAUGAGAUUACAUUUCUGAGAGUUAGGUAGAGCAUAAAAAGUUUUAAGAGAGAAUUAAAAAUCAAUGGGUGGCCACCUAUCACAAUAGGUUUGAGUAGAAUGGUGCGAUAUACUCAGUAGAUAUAUCAUUCAAAGUUGAUAGCCAAGAAUUUCUUUUAGGGAUGGCAACUAGGUCGGAUGAUCACGGGCUAAUGGGCCGGGGAGGGGAUUUUUUCCGCCGUUAAAAAAUGGGGCAGGGGGCAAGGGAGUAAACCCCCGCCUCACCACCCAUUAAAAAAAUUAAAUCUAUAUAUGUAUAUAUUCAUAUAUAAUAUUUAAUUUAAUUUGUUACAAAUAUAUAAUAAUGAUAUUAUUAGUUAUAAAUAUUAUAUAAUGCAUAUUAGUAUUUGUAAUAUAAAUGAUUAGUAUUUGUAAUAUAGUUGAUAUUAUCAAAUACUAAUAAUAGUACAUGUCUACUAAUAGAAAUUAUUAAUUAGUUAUAUUAAAUCUACUAAUACAAUUAUACUAAAUUCGUAAUUACACUUAACACAAUAACACUUUUUUCUCAGAAAAAAAAAACACAAUAAUGACUUAAUGAUUGUAGUUUUCUCAAAAGCGAAAACUUGACUAUUUUAGUUAUAUUUGUUUCAUCAUGUUGGAUUGUAUUCAAAUAACUUUUGUUUAAUUGUUUUUUAUGGGUUUCAAUUAUGAAAUUACAAUGGAUAAUGACUUGGUCAUAUGUUGGCAUUUAAGUAUUUGAUUCUUUGCUCAAAUUUGACUACAAUGAAAUUAUAUAACAAAUUUUUAUUAGCCCGACGGGUGCUUCCGUGGGGGUAGCGGGGACGGGUAGGAGGACUGAGGGGCAAGGGAAAUUCCCCCCGCCCUACUGCCAUUCCUAAUUUCUUUUGCUAUAUAGUGUAAUACUGGAAAACCUUGAAAACCUGAAACACAUUUACCCCAAAAAAAUGAAAUACAGUUUACAAGGUUCUGGAAAAUGAUUAACUCAACUUUGCAUCUUUGAAUUUGUACCACUUUAACAGGAUUCCAAACUUAUACUCAGCAGAUAAAUCGAACUUGACUUUUGAUUUUUCUAUAGAUGAAUGGUUUAAAUGAAAUAGGAUUGCAUUUCAAAGAGUCAGGUAGAGAUUAAAAGGUUUUAAAAGAGAAUUAAACCUCAAUGGGUGGCCACUUAUCACAGUAGGUUUGUGUAGAAUGGUGUGGUAUAUGUGACAGCCCCACUUUCCCCUAAGGCGAACCAAAGGGGUUAGCGGGCUGCCUGCCUAUCUCUCGCCAGGACUAACGGUGCAGUUUAAAGCGAUCUAUUGCGUUCCGGAACUUAUAACGCGCGUAAACAAGUCAAAAUGUCCAAAAUAACCCAAAGUAAAAAAAUGAAAUCCGGAGUCGGCCAUGAAUAGUAACCGACCCGUCAGAACCCAGUCAAACAUCAAAAUACAUAUACAACAUAACAUUUAGUAUUUACAAGCCAAAAUGGCAUACAAAAGUGAUACAAAAGUUACUACAUGUAUGGUUUGCCAAAAUCCAAAGUGAAACGGCCCUAAAGGUACAUUUAGGGUUUCGAUUCAUAAGCUAUACAAAAGAGACAUUCAUUUAGCUCAUUCGGCAACCAACUAGCAAGAAUCAUUCCAAAAGUAGUCAUAUGCCUGUAAGGAAAACAAAAGGAACGGUGUGAGCUAAUUGCCCAGUAAGAUACUAUCACUUAAGCAACCAAGAUCACAUAAGCAUAACCUUCAUUCCAAUUACUUUAUUAAGAAGUAAAACAAAUCGGUAAAAGGAUACGGACGGCUCUCAAGAGCCCAUUUCCACGCUUACAUUCUUGAUCGAACCUCAUUGACCCUCCGUCAAUGUUUAAGAAUAACCAACCGUAGACUUCACUUCACUUCCAUUCUUUCCACCCAACAUACCCCUACCGGGCCCGCACUCCAAACAGUAGCCAUUUGGUAAUACUCGAGUAUACCGGAAUCGAGAGUCUCACUACUACAAGAUUCCAUAUAACAGUCCCCAUGGCUCGUCAAUUUUCACGACCAAGCCCUCGCCGGCUCGAUUCAAUUGACUACCAACGGGGUUGAGCUCAGUAGUAACAGUAAGGCCGUUGGAUACUCGUCCAAACGACACCAAAUCAGUUUUCCAUGAAUGGAAUUUAGUAUUUCAUGUAUCAUUCAGUCAUUACAGUGAAACAGUAGACAAUCCUCAACAAUAUCAAAGGAUGUGAGGGCGAUCAAGUACACCCUCACUUUAAUCAGUUUCAACAGUGCAAAUAAGCCUUCAAGGCGUUAAUUUCAAUAUAAUAAAGCCACAUUGUAAACAAACAAGUGAGUAGUAUACUCACAUAGCAAGCAAGUGGAAUAUCGUGAACUUCUGCCCAAAAGGCGUCUUUAAUUACCGUCACGCCCUAAAACAUGCAAACAAGUACAAUGAGACUCGAUAACGAGUCAUAAACCAAUGCCAAAUACUCCCAAAAUAGGGUUCCAUACGCAUACAUAAGCAUUAGAGGAAAUCAGAAAAAUCCGGAAAUGCAAUUGGACUUCAAUUAAAAAAACAGUUUUUGACGUCAUUAUGCGGUUUUAGCACCAACGGCACUACAAUUAUCGGAUGGGGGUGUAAGACCCACCGUUUCGAAGCUAAGAGACAGGGAUACAAUGUUUCAGAAGGCAAUUUUGUCCAGUUUUGAGUGUAACAAGGUCAAAAAUGCAAGAUACUAUACCAGAACCGGAAAAACAGAUUCACAAAACGCAUUCUGCUGUAAACAGCAUAACUCAGCCUAAUUAAGCCCAAAUCCAGAAAUUCCAAAACCAUCUGAAAGCUAAGAAACAGGGAUAAAUUUCAUCAUAAGGCCUCAACAACCAAUUAGGAAGCAAUUCCAGCCAAAACAACCAAUUACAGGCGCAAUUCUUACAUUCGGGUAAAACCAGAACAGCAAUAGUAAUUUCGACUUUUCUCAUUCUACACUACUCCGAUUGACCUGAAAUUUUGUAGGCACCUCUAAAAUGUCAUUCCCUACAACUUUCAUGUUUUAAACCAAGGCCAAUUCGGCCUCUAACUAGGAGCUAAAAAUUCGGGCAGAAUGCUCCCUCAAGAACCCUAAUUUUCUGAAAUUUCUUCCAAACCAGAAAUUGGUUGCAAUUAAUCAUUUUUUCCACCUCCUAGAGUCAUUAUAUACCAUUUCUAAUCAUCAUAGAUAGCCACACAAUCAUGCUCAUAUUAAAACAGAAAAAAAUCUCCAAAAAUAAUAAAACUUCAUCACUUCAACCACAAAUCAAGAAAUAACCCAUAAACUUGCAUCUCAUACUACCACUAAGCAUGAUUUAAGCAUCAAUUAAGGGAGGAGGGUGGUUCUUCACAACUUACCUUAAAACAAGAGAGAGAGAGCUAUUGGACACCUUAACUUUCCAAAUAACUUCACACAACAACUCACCAACACCUCCUUAAGUGGUUUUAUGGAGCAAAAUCAAGGUUGGAUGGUUGGUUUUGAUGAUUUGGAACAAACUUGAAGAGUUUUCUUCCUUGUGCUUAGAGUAAGAGAGAGAGAAAGAGAGAAUGAGAGGGCCGGCCACCAUGGAGGAUUUUUUGAUGAUUUUUGGGUAAUUUUUAAGCUAUUUUAACCAAAUUGGUAAAAGGGUGAAUAGUGUUCAAAAAGGUCAAACCACUCCUAUGGUGACACUUGUCACCUUUUAAUAAAUACUUACCUACCUUGUCUCUCUUAUACCAAUCCACUUAGCACCCUCUACUUAUCUCUUAACACCCGGUAAAUUAAUUCCAAUAUUCAAAACUUAACCUAGUUGGCCGAAAUUUUCCGAACUUUUCGCACUAGUGGGUCCCACGUCCGGUAUACACUCUUAAUUUUCCAAAACCUAUUCGAUACUAGAAAAAUCAUCCAAAAACUAUAUCUGCUCAUUAAAAAUAUCUAGAAAAUUUCCCUACUAAAGAAAAAGCAGAAAACAAGCCAUUAAAUAAAUAAAACCCUAGAAAAAAAAUGAGAAAAUUUCGGGUUCUCACAGUAUACACGGUAGAUAUAUCAUUCAAAGUUCAUAGUCAAGAAUUUCUUUUGUUAUAUAGUGGAAUAAUGAAAAACCUUGAAGUCUUGAAACACUUUUGCCUAAAAAGAAAUAAAAAGCAAUGAAACACGUUUGACAAGGUUCUGAAAAAAAGAAUUAAAUCCACUUUGCACCUUUGAACUUCUAUCACUUUAAUAAGGUUAACUUACACUUAAUAGCUAAAUCAAUCUUGGCUUUUGAUUUUUGUGCGUAUAAAUGGUUUGAAUGAAAUAGGAUUACAUUUCUAAGAGUUAGGUAGAGCAUAAAAAGUUUUAAGAGAGAAUUAAAUGCCAAUGGGUGGUCACCUAUCAAAAUAGGUUUGUAUAGAAUGGUAUACUCAGCAAAUAUAUCAUUCAAAGUUGAUAGUCAAGAAUUUCAUCUACUGUAAAAAUAAUAAAAAGCUCAAACGUUGACUUUCCUGAUAAUAUGAUGCUCCAUCCAAUCCACAUAUGUUUAUCUACGAUUCAGCAGUAAAUUUGAUGAAGAGCUCAAAAGUUGACUUUCCUGAUAACAUGGUACUCCAUUCUUCCCGUUUUAUAAGGACUUAACUAACCAUUCUGUGGCCAAACCAUUAUCCAUCUUGACCAUCUAAAUGGCGAAUUGCACUUUUAGUUUAAUGCUCAAUAAAACAGAAGUUCUUAACCAUGUUAAGAAAAAAUAGAUGAAAAGGGCUUUUGUCACCUUUUAUUAGUUGUGGUGGUUAAAUAGGAGAAGGAUUACAUUUUCUUAAACUAAGUAAAAGAUUAUUUUACAUAAAGCAAGUUGGAUGCACAUCAUAUGUAAAAUAAAAAUAUGAAAAAUAAAGACUACCGUACAUUUAGACUUGGUAGCAUAUCAAAAAAAAAUUUUUUAAUGACAGUGUAUAAUGAUUUAUGUAUGCAACAAAAUGAAACUUCUCAUUUUCAGACCAGAAAUAUUUCUUUUGAAGUAAUCUCAGUCGGACAAGGACGUACCAAGCGGGGCCGAGAAAGAAAAGCCCCUCCACACCUAAAAAAAUUGUUAUGAAAAUUAAGUAGGACAAUAAUCUUUUAACAAUAAUUGUUACUUUACCACCAACAUAUAUAACUUACUUAGUUCCUGACCCCUUCAAUUACAUUUAGACAAAUCUUCCAUGACAAAUCAACUUUUACCUCUUUCUGCUAGUAUAGAGUUUCGUUGCAUUUGUGUACGAUAUAUAUGACUUAAAAUUACAAUUAAGUAAACACUAUACCAAAAGGAAACAGAGGACCACCAAAAGAAAGUUUCAACCAAUAUUAGAUACUAUUUAUACUAUAUUGGCCUGAAUAAAAAAAUAGAGUAUUAGUCAAAAAUGAACACCGAAAAUCACAAUUUUUUUAUUCGUAGAUGUGUAGCCUUUACAUUUUAUUCUUUCCAGAGUGAUUGGUAAUGAUGAAUUACAAGAAUAGUGGAAGAAUGAUUAUAAAGAUACAAGAUGCAUAUAUGAUAGAGUCAAAGCAAGGUAAAUGAUAAGUGCUUGAUUUGCAUAUUUGUAAGUGGUUAUUUAUGUGCAUUUUAGUGUAUUUUCAUUUAAGUUGAAGUUGAAUAACUAGAUUUUUAGUUAAGUUUUGCAUUUUGUGGUUAAGUGAGAAAACUCACAUUUCUAUGGACUUAAGUGCGGAAAUUUCAUGUUUUUUUUAUAGGUUUUGAUAAUUCAAUCAUCAAUUGAAGGGAAGUGAGGAGAUGCUUGCAUGAUUGCUGAUGAUUUAAUGUGGAAAUCAUGUGACAUGAAGGACCAAAGGAAGAAAUACACUCAAGAAAUACACUCAGUUGAUUGAGUUAGACCACAAGAUUGAUCAUGGAGUAUCCAGUUGGUGAAGAUUGGGCUACAAUAUUGGUUUAAGAGAAUUUUCAGAUUGAUUAUGGGUGGAAAAACAGAGAUUGCAGAAUCCUGUCCGUUGAGUUGUGAUUAUUAAAAUCACAAAGUGCAUUGUUAAUAGGUUGAUAUCAAAUUGUGCGAUGAGAACAGUCUAUCCGGAAACAUGGAUUAUUUUAAUGAGUCAAAAUAAAUCGAGCGAUCAGAUAAAUUUGUCUAGGAGUGUGGAGUAUUGCAGCAAAAAAAACCUUUGAAGAUGAAGAAUUCAAAUUGAUGUUAACAAAAUUUACAAAGGAGAUUGUUGUUCGUGAUUGCAAUGAACGUAAUUCAAUAGAGAGCUUGAUUUAAGGAAAGCAAUAUUGGCAUACUAAAUCAAGCCUAAAAAAAUAUAAGUUUCUAUAUUGUUAUUUGGUAGUGUUUUAGUCAAAUCAAGUUUUUAGUAAUUUUGUUGAAGUCAAGUUAUAGUAGUUUUAGUGUUUAGGAAGUUUUAUUUUAUUAAAAAAUUUCUUGCAGUUGUAAAACUUGUUUACCAAAUCAUCUAAUCUAUAAAUAAAGAGUCCUACUAUUAUGAUUAGUUGAAAAGAGUAAAAUUUAAGAGUCUUGUUAUUAUGUGUAACAAGUUAUCUAGUCUAUAAAUAAGAAGUCCUAUUAUUAUGGUUAGUUGAAAAGAGUGAAAUUUGAGAGUCUUGUUAUUAUAUAUAAUUAACGAUAUAUUGUUGAUAUUUAUUCCUCUUUCUCCUACACAUACUUGUAUGUGUGUAAGUUAUCUCCCCAUAUAUAUAUAUAUAUAUAUAUAUAUAUAUAUAUAUAUAUGAGUUUUUAUCAAAUAUAUAUCGUAUAAUUUUUUGGUUAAUUUUUUACUUCUACAAAAUUCAACGUGUUAAAGCAAAGUAGCCAACAUCUUGAAUCUAUCAAGUCAAUUACCAAAUUAUGCAGAAACAAAGGAUAAUUAAACUGCAAAUAGAACAUUUUAAUUUUUGUAUCUAAUGCAAAACGGUAUGCCUCUAUUGACAAAUUAUGUUUGAUAUGAAUUUAAAAUUAAGGGAGAAUUGUUCAAAACGUCCCUCACAUUUUGCAAAAUAACUUUUUUCGUCCCUCACUUUUAAAAAUAUAAUUUUACGUCCGUUACAAAUUCAUAUUGGUCAAAUUUGGUCCCUACUUAGGUUUCCGACUAGUUUUUGGUCGGAAUUCACCACGUGCCUUGCACGUGAUCAUAUUUUAAGGGCAAAAUUGUCAAAUGAAAUUUUAUAUAAUUUGAUUCAUAAUCUCUCACAUUUCAUAAAAUAAAAAUUUUCCCUUACAUUUCACAAAAUGAAUUUUUUCAUCAUUCACAUUUUUUAAAAUGAAUUUUUUCAUCUUUUAUUGAUCAUGUGUGUGCAAAAUUUUUCUUAAAUCCAUGUAUAUAUCUAUUUGAUUUCACUUGAACAGUACGAAUAGCAGAUGAAAUCAAAUAGAGAUAUAUUACAUACUAUUCGUACUGCUCAAGUGAAAUCAAAUAGAUAUAUACAUGUGUUUAAAAAAAAUGUUAGUUUUUCACUUAUAUUCAUUUUCUUUUACUCGAAAUUUGAAAAUAAAGAUGACAUUUAAUCCUAAAUAUUAUCGAGUGUUUAUAUCGAAUUAAAUUUGGAUAGAAAAAGUAAACAAAAGAAAAGCAUGACAAAAAGAAAUAAGUGAUUGGCACUUUCAAAUUAAGACAAUCACAAAGCAAGUAAUUCAACUGUUGGUCUUAAAAAUGUCGAGUAGAAAUUUCAGAUUUAAACUGAAAUUUGUUAGCACAAUUAUAGAAUUCGAGUUAGAACCUAUUAAUUAGAUGACCUUAUUAUACAACUCAAUAAAUAAAUUAUCACCAAAAGAGAAAGGUCACAAAUAUUGAAUAGGUUCAAAUGAUGAAAUCAUAUAAAUAUAUACGUGGGUUUCAAACAAAAUUAUUAGUUUUAAACCCCUAUAUACAUCUAUUGAAUAGCAUGUGUAUAGCUAUAAUUAGCAUGUUUAGAUGAAAUCCAAUAGAAAUAAAUUACAUGUUAUUCAUACUGUUCAGGUAAAAUCAAAUAGACAUAUACGUGGGUUUAUAGAAAAAAGCUAUUCGUACACAUGAUCAAUGAGGGAUGAAAAAAAUUCAUUUUGAAAAAUGUGAGGGAUGGAAAAAUUCAUUUUUUGAAAUAUGAGGAACGAAACAAUUCAUUUUGUAAAAUGUUAGGGACGAAAAAAUUCAUUUUGUGAAAUGUGAGAGACAAUGAAUCAAAUUAUGGAAAAAUUUGAUUUAAAAUUUUGCCCUCAAAAAAUGAUCACAUGCAAGUCAUGUGGUGGAUUCUGGCCAAAAACUAGUCGGAAACCUACGUAGAGAUCAAAUUUGGUCAAUGUGAAUUUGGAAGGGAUAUAAAAUUACACUUUUAAAAGUGAGGGACAAAAAAAGUCAUUUUGUAAAAUGUAAAGGACGUUUUGAACGAUUUUCUCUAAAAUUAACCUAACAAGUUCAGAUUUCAAGAAUUAGAGGUCUUGGAUUUUAAUUCUCAUACCUUUUCCCCGCUUCUUACGUUCCACCCCUUCCUCUGAUGGGGCAAAAAAAAAAACCGAUAGUUAAGGUUCAAAAGGUUCUAGUCUCGUCUUCCUUUUCAUUUAAAAAACUAGGGCAGAUGUCAAUGAGAGGCAAAAUUACAUAUCUGCCAAAGGCAAGAGUUGCUACUAAUUACUACGUGCUAUAACCCUUAUUCAAUGGUGAAAUUUUGAGAGUUUAAGAUUAUAUGAAUAAAAAAAUUUUACUAUCUUGCUUAAGACGUUCAAAAUUUUCUAACACGCUUUUAUUUCUACAGCACUUGGUAUAACAGAUAAUGCUCUUUGUGCCCUUAUUCGCCCCAAAUAAACAUUUGCAGGUCCACUCAAAUUUUUGUUUGAAUAGGAAGUUAUUUGAAAUAUUUAUUUGAAAAAAUUAAUAUAGCAUUUUUUGUGAUGUGAUGUAUGUGAGAUAGGUAUUGGAAAUUGUGUGUAUGAUGCAAACAAAGCAAAAAUUGAAAUUUUUAUCUAAAAUUUUUAUUUGAAAAUUACUACAGCAUUAUUGUGUUCUUAUGCACUCGUUAGACAGAUUCAUAGUUAAAGCGGAGUUUUUUAAUCUUUAUUAUUAUUAAGCUAAGUUGACUAAACACAUGGAAUUGGUAGUUGUUCACAAGGAAAACUAAGAAAUAAGAAUUGAUAGGAAAGGACGUUGAGAAGACUAAUGACAUCUUGGUCAAAUUGAUGGAAAAGGUUGAGAUGGAAGUCUGAAAAGCUAAAAGGCUGAAGAUCGACUAAAAAGCUUUUGAAUCCCACAUCGGUCUUGGGGGAUGGGUUUGGAUAGAUAAGUCCUCUGGACGUCUUCAAAAGUUACCGACUUUUGAAGAUUGCUCGGGAAUUUAGAUUUAUUUGCCGAAUUUUUACUUUCGUAAGAAAAUGUCAGAAGACUAAAAAGCUUCGAAGUUGAGAUGGGAGACUAAAAAGCUGAAGUCUUCCCACUGUGUUUUAGGUGCGGGGCUCCUUGCCUAUUCUAAUAUUCGAUUGAGUCAAUAAUGCAGUUUAAAUUGGACUUUUCGAAAUCAUGUCCGCAAAUGACAUCCAAUGAAUAAUGUAGGUAACAAACGUUAAAUAAAAAGGUAUCAAUUUUGAGGAGAAAUGCCAUUCCUAGUGCUAAUAAAUACAACCAAUCACUUCGGUUUUGGCAGACAAUAUCAAUUUCAGCUAUCUAGGUUUUCAUUUUUUAGAUAUCAAAAGCCAAAAGAAGCAAGAAAGAGAAUUAUAUUUAGUAUUGAUUUCUAAAUCAAGCAACCAUUGGUACCUGAAAGAGUCAAUUUACUCUCUGGUUGUUAGUUCAGAGCGAUUAAUUUAGCAAAUAAGCGAAAAUCUUGAACCGGUCAAACCAUUAUUAAAUUGACAAAAAAGAAAAAUGAAUAUUUUUUUCCUGGUUAUUAAAAUUGUUCAUAAGUGCUAUCUUCUCUGUAUUUUUUCCUAUGUUUCAACUAAUUACAUGGAGAUUAUUGAUAGUCAUGCUAGUAGUUGUACUAUGGUACUUCAAAAUUUUUCUUCUGCCAUUUUCAUUUUCAUUAUGAGCCUAACUAGGGAAACCAGUAAAUUAGCAGUUUUAAUCGGCAAUUAUCUUAGAAAAGCGUGGUACUUCUAAUUGAUCAGAUUCUAAGAGUGUGUUUGAUAAAACUGAAGGCUGAAAACUAAAAAUUGAGAACCAAAGUUUGAAUCCAUUAAGUUACUGAAUUAUUAAGUAUUAAAUUUGAUACAUUUGAAUAUAUAUCAUAAUAAGUGAUAAGUAAAUAGUUUAUCAUCUAUUUUUGGAAGCAAGUUUUGUUUAAUAUUAAUUAAUUCAGAUGUUCAAUUUUUAGUUAUUAAGUGCAUUUAAAUAUGUUAAAAUCUGAAUCUAUUAAAUUUAAAUGUUGAAUUGGGUUAUCAAACAGGGCGUAAGUACAAAAACUUUAUCAAAUUCAACCUCCGGAAUCUAAUCCUAGUAGUUAGUAACUAACACCAUAAGCAAAAGUAAAGCUUGAUUUUUUCACCAAUCAGCUACACCCCAUAUCCUACCUUUUAAAAUCAAUUCUUUACUUCAGUAAUUUCUUCAUGCUAAAUCUCUAUUUAACUUGAGAAUGAAUAUAAAAUAUUGUAUCAUUAGAUAAAAUUUCUUUUUUGUUAUUGUGGUUUGUCCUAAAUGUUAUCCACUAUUUGUCCUAAAUGUUAGGCUAAAUCCUUAUUUGAUUCGAUAAUGAAAAAACAAAUUAUUUUCUAUUAUUUGAACUUUGAUUUUCUAAUGGGUGCCUAGUAGUAACUCGUUAGUAUAUUUAAAUUACACAUAACUUAUUAUAUGAAUACAUAUAUUUACCGUUACUACAAUCCUAGCAUUUCGAGGCUUUCCCGAAUUAAUUAUAGUCUUGUAAAAAUAUAAACACUUAUAACGAGAGUAUGUAACCGUUAGUCAAAUCCUUUGGACUUUGCAGUUGAUUAAUUAGUACGUCACCGUCUUCAACUCCGCAAACCUUUAAAGGUGAGGAUUACGAGAAGAAAGAAAGGAUGAAUUGUUAAAUAUUACUUUGAACAAUCAACACUGAUCAAUACGUGAACGACUCAACACUGAUAUCUUGAAGACUGCCUGAUUGAGGACUUUGUACUUCAUUGGUACAAUAUAACUUUCACUAUCCAAGUUUCUAGAUGCUGAUCCGAGAACAAAUGAUGUAAAAGAGAAUAUUUAAAGGAACCAAGCAACAAUUAAGAACAGAAAGGUCAAAGCCAUGCUUUUAAAAUCAAAACGCAGCCAGAAAGAAUUAUAUGAUCUCUUAAUGUAUGCGUAAAUGAUUAAUGUUUUAAAGCAAAUAGACUUGAAGCAAUAAUUUAUAUUGCUAGUUGACUUUCAAUAUAAUUUCUACUAGUCUGAGGCUGCGCUACGCACAGGGUGAGCAUAUGUGACCCGUGUUAAUAGUAUGUUUGUCUGAAAAUAUUUUGUAAAGUUUGCUUUGUAAGUAUUGAUGUUGGAAAUAAUUUUAUAAUAUGUAAAAUAAUUGUGAGCUAGUUAUUUUUUAUUAAAUUAGGAUAAUUGGAGAGAAUUGUUGGUAGGUUACUGUAUAAAAUGUAGUUUAAUGUUAAUAAAAAUAUAGCAUAUAUGUGCUGAAGUAGCAGAAUAUGAGUAUAGUAUUGAACAGUAAAAGUGUAAUUUUUAUGGUUAUUAUUUUAUCUUGCAAGAACUUUUACAAGUUCAUCAUAAAAAAUGUGCAUCCGAUAUUCGUUCAUUCAUAAAUGAGAAAUUAUGAGAAUAUAGCAUGGACUAAUAACAUGGUAUCGUAGCAUUUUUUUCCAACCAAAGCUUCGAAAAUUAUCUUCAACUUUAAUGUCCCAGCUUGUGUGUUGGCAAUGAAAGAUGAUUAUGCUGUUUUUGUUUGGCAAUACAUGAGCAGCAUCAUUGGGUUAGAGUUCCGCAGAAUAAAAUAGAUGAUUAAAGUAAACUUGUGUGAUUUUUUUUUUCAUAUCAAAAUCCAAACAAAACUAGGGUUGUUUGAAAGGACAAUCAGCAUUUAAUGCUAGAGGAAAAGCAACAGUGUGAAUGGAAAACAAAAAAACGCAAACUCAAAAUGAGAAGAGGUUAGACGUAAAAAGAAGUGCCACACCAACUGCCUUGCCAAACCCUCUAUUCAUAGGAGAAAUUCUUCCAUGUGAAAGCCUUCGAACGAAUAGUAUUUGAAUGGAAAUGGCUGCUACGAAUUUGACUAAUAAAACAUACAACUCAAUAGUUGGGCUAUAUGCUAGGAUGCUCAAGAGGUAAAAAAAAAAAAUGUCCAUGUAGCUCUCAAAAUUUGACAGCACCAUAAAUGAUUUCACAUGGAUGUCAAAGACAUAUUUUAACACUUUUAUUAUUUAUUUUUUCCCAUCCUCCCGGAUGGAGUUCUUAUUAAGAUAGUCGAAUGAACCAGAAGUACAUAAAGAAACAGAGACCACCACGUACGUAUAUGGUCUGAAAUAAAACUAAAUAUCUGUUAUUGGCUUUCUUAAUUAUUGGUUUUCACUUUAUUAUUCAAACUUCCCAUCCUCCUCAG
This 14102-nucleotide long non-coding RNA is filed under the name Coffea arabica (coffee). RNAcentral's name for it is "long non-coding RNA (CARA_LNC008237)". Lineage: Eukaryota; Viridiplantae; Streptophyta; Magnoliopsida; Gentianales; Rubiaceae. The record is from RNAcentral.